GGCUACGUAGCUCAGCUGGUUAGAGCGCGGCAUUCAUAAUGCUGAGGUCGUUGGUUCAAGUCCAACCGUAGCUACCA
Molecule: transfer RNA, 77 nt
Filed under: Gammaproteobacteria bacterium
Lineage: Bacteria; Pseudomonadati; Pseudomonadota; Gammaproteobacteria
Also listed under: 1 other name
Description: tRNA-Met
Rfam family: tRNA
About the family: Transfer RNA (tRNA) molecules are approximately 80 nucleotides in length. Their secondary structure includes four short double-helical elements and three loops (D, anti-codon, and T loops).
Source: RNAcentral